Molecule: long non-coding RNA, 724 nt
Organism: Dromaius novaehollandiae (emu)
Lineage: Eukaryota; Metazoa; Chordata; Aves; Casuariiformes; Dromaiidae
Exons: 5
Source: RefSeq, a predicted model, not a curated record
GUCCAAAAAUGCAGCACACACCUAUUGGCCCUUAAUCACUUGUAGCUGGGCUCGCUCCUUUUUUUUUGGCUUCCUCCUUCGAAGCCGCUCAGCCAGCGACGGAGGAAACGGCGACAUGUUGCGACGCAGCCCGUGAAAUCGCGCUGGGAGGGUCAGAGCCCUCGCUGGCAGCAAGGCUCACGCAGAGCAAGCCCCUAAUGCCGGGGGGAAACUGGGGCCUGUGAAAACGGUCCUAAUUUGGGGCCUGUAUACGGAGCGAGGGGCGUUCGUUGCAGAAGGCGAGCAGAAAUCCCUCUUUAGAAAUGAGGAAAAAAUAAGAGCUAGCAAAAGAGAAUUACAACACGUCAUUCUGGGGGAAAAAGUCUUCGAUGCUUCAUCCAUCUGCAGGCCAGGAGAUUCCUCAAAAGCAGUUCAAGACAGUCUUCCUGAGGAGAGCUAGCUGCUGCGCAGUGCAAUCACACUCUCUUCUAUUGAGUGAACGACAGAUACAUAUGCAACUUUAUAAUAAAGGAACUAAAGAGAAUGUUGCACCUGGGAUUCACAGAGGAAUCUGCCAGCUCAGACUGUUUGGCAGAGUUACCUGUGUGUGGCUCCUCUCGGACUUUCUCCAGGGCCCUUUCUGCUGAAACAGAGCUGAAGAAGUUCAGGAUGAGGCAGAAUCUUUUUCAGGUUCUGUGACCAUACUGGAGACUUCAAGUUUAGCAGUCUGAGCUCACAUCCAGCA